UACGUAGGGUGCGAGCGUUAAUCGGAAUUACUGGGCGUAAAGGGUGCGCAGGUGGUUUUGUAAGUCAGAUGUGAAAUCCCCGGGCUUAACCUGGGAAUUGCGUUUGAAACUACAAGACUAGAGUGUGGCAGAGGGGGGUGGAAUUCCAUGUGUAGCAGUGAAAUGCGUAGAGAUAUGGAAGAACAUCGAUGGCGAAGGCAGCCCCCUGGGUUAACACUGACACUCAGGCACGAAAGCGUGGGGAGCAAACAGGAUUAGAUACCCUGGUAGUCCACGCCCUAAACUAUGUCAACUAGUUGUUGGGUCUUAUUAGACUUGGUAACGAAGCUAACGCGUGAAGUUGACCGCCUGGGGAGUACGGUCGCAAGAUUA
Molecule: ribosomal RNA, 372 nt
Filed under: uncultured bacterium
Lineage: Bacteria
Description: bacterial SSU rRNA
Rfam family: Bacterial small subunit ribosomal RNA
Source: RNAcentral